AAGGUUUCUCCUCCAGCCCAGGGAGCCAGGGGCUGGCAUUCUGUGUCCAGGACUUCGGGCCCUCUGUGAGCCUCUGUCCGCCAAGGCGAUGGAGCUGUGUUUGGAGUCCCUCGCCACUGCCUUCAGAGAAGGUGACAGAGGGCCAUGUCUGAAACAUUCUCCCACAACCAGGAACCCUCAGCAGCCGCUGAAGAGGAAAGGCAGUUAAAUGGAAAGACUUCUGAGCAAGUGGAGGAAAAGUCACGUGUGACCUAGGGAGGGGCUCCCACAGGAAGGGGCAAUGCCCUUGCCCUGUUCACCUAGCCUCCAGGUGGCUUCCCACUUGAAAUUUCAGAGGAUGGCAGAAACCUACUUACAAGGAAAUGAAAGAGGGCACAGCAACCUUAAGACCAGAGCAGCCCACGAUAUUUUUUAAUGAGGGCAAAAAUAGAAGACUUGCAAAAGACCCCUGAAAAUAAUGCCUGGAAGCUGCGAAACAUCAGACUGACACCGCACAAAAGAGGUCCAGCUGAGCAGGAGAAAAGCUUGAGAAGCAUCCAGAACAAUGUAGGUGGAGAGGCUAAGAAGAAAGAGGAGCCCACAUGGAAUGAAUAACCAAGGUCGGGACAGAGGAAGGUUCGCCAGAACUGGGAGGGCUGAAAUUGGACAUUGAGAUAAAUUAAAGAGUGUUCUUUAAAA
RNAcentral lists this long non-coding RNA (678 nucleotides) under Homo sapiens (human). RNAcentral's name for it is "HSALNT0314368". Lineage: Eukaryota; Metazoa; Chordata; Mammalia; Primates; Hominidae. The record is from RNAcentral.